This 253-nucleotide ribosomal RNA is filed under the name uncultured bacterium. RNAcentral describes it as "partial 16S ribosomal RNA". It matches the Rfam family "Bacterial small subunit ribosomal RNA", at positions 524 to 776 of the family's 1533-position model. The record is from RNAcentral.
UACGUAUGGGGCAAGCGUUAUCCGGAUUUACUGGGUGUAAAGGGAGCGUAGGCGGCGGGGCAAGCCUGAUGUGAAAGCCCGGGGCUCAACCCCGGGACUGCAUUGGGAACUGCCCUGCUGGAGUGCCGGAGGGGCAGGCGGAAUUCCUAGUGUAGCGGUGAAAUGCGUAGAUAUUAGGAGGAACACCAGUGGCGAAGGCGGCCUGCUGGACGGUGACUGACGCUGAGGCUCGAAAGUGUGGGGAGCAAACAGG